Molecule: transfer RNA, 72 nt
Filed under: Marmota monax (woodchuck)
Lineage: Eukaryota; Metazoa; Chordata; Mammalia; Rodentia; Sciuridae
Description: tRNA.Ala
Source: RNAcentral
GGGGUUGUGGUUCAAUGGUAGAAAUGCUCCCCUAGCAUGGGCGAAGCCUUGGGUUCAAUCCUCAGCACCACA